RNAcentral lists this long non-coding RNA (667 nucleotides) under Vigna radiata. RNAcentral describes it as "long non-coding RNA (VRAD_LNC010614)". The record is from RNAcentral. Lineage: Eukaryota; Viridiplantae; Streptophyta; Magnoliopsida; Fabales; Fabaceae.
AGAGCGUGAGGAAUCAAGCUGUGAAGUGUAACUCUUGGACAAAAUAAGUCACGGCCAAAAGCUGUAGACUUUAGUGAAUUUUUCCAGCAACUUUUCAGUGAUACUAGCCAGUUUUUUUGGUGUCUUGCUGCAACAGCAGAGUGCUUCACUUGGCAGUUGUGAGAUUAGUGUGAAAUCAAUCUAUUUCACUUCUUUUGAGAGAGACCAAAGCUGCAAUGUCCAAUACCUUUUCUUCUGUCCUGUUUGCAAGCUUUUGCAAAUUUUGAAUCAACUUCCAAAUACUGUUUUAACUGCAACCUUCAUAAAAUGAGUUUUUGGAACCAAAUUGCUUAAACUGAUUUUGUUUAAAUCAUACGGUGCACUGAUUUGAAUGUACAAUGCUAGUCAAUAUCAGAUUGCCUAAGAUUUCGGUAAGGUACUGUUGAACCAAUUGGAUUAAGUUCCAAAUUUUCUUUCAACUUUGGAAGCAAUCUGUCUUUAACUUAAUCUGCAAUAAAUCAGUUUACAUAAAAGUGGUUCCUGCACUUUACUUUCCAGUCCUAAUGCUGAUUAACCGUGCUGAUAUUCAAUUAGCACUUGUAGUCUUUGUUGUUUGAUGUGUUGCAGCUAUAAUUUCAACAGCAAGGAACCAUUGGCUGCAACAGUGGAAAUUGUGGGAAUUUUCAAC